This 160-nucleotide non-coding RNA is filed under the name Actinomycetota bacterium. Its description in RNAcentral is "6S RNA". It matches the Rfam family "6S / SsrS RNA". Rfam says of the family: E. coli 6S RNA was the first non coding RNA to be sequenced, but its function was unknown until recently. It consists of 184 nucleotides that fold into an extended hairpin structure with a large single-stranded internal bulge. The 6S RNA specifically associates with RNA polymerase holoenzyme containing the sigma70 specificity factor. Lineage: Bacteria; Bacillati; Actinomycetota. The record is from RNAcentral.
GGUGCUCGACCCUGUGCGUGGCUCGGCGCACAUUGUUGAACCAAUGUGAAAGCAGAGGGAGCCUGCGUCCGACAGGCCCGUAAGGGCUGGGUCGGCAGGGCACCCACCUGGUUAAUCCAGGUUCGCAUCGCGUCGGGACUAUCGGCAGGGUGGGGCACUU